Molecule: long non-coding RNA, 367 nt
Filed under: Androctonus crassicauda
Lineage: Eukaryota; Metazoa; Arthropoda; Arachnida; Scorpiones; Buthidae
Source: RNAcentral
UGUAAUUGGUUUCGGAUAAUUUUCUUUUUGAAAUAUAAAUAUAUUACUACAUAACAUCGAAUAUGAAUAAUAGUGAUAUUUGGUUAAAGAUACCUGACUGCAGAUUAAGAACUAAUGUGUUGUUUAUUUAUAAAACUGCAAGAUUAAAUUUGACUAGAAGGUCUUUUCCUUAUCGUCUAAUUGAUAAACAGAACUUGAUAACGUGUGAUCUAUUCAACCUUAGUCGUUUGGGAUUUGCUAAAUUUCUAAAGGAAAAUGUCCUGCAUUCGAAAUAUAUGUUAUAACUGACUAUGUUGUAUGUUAUCCAUUGUUAAUUGUCUGUGAUGUAGUGAUCUUUUGUAUUAUUAUCUUUGUUUUUAUGUAUGGG